AAUAACACACCUGCAGCUUUCUCGGUUCUGCUUAGCCAGCUGUGUCCGAAGCACUGACUGACAGGAAAAAUACAGCAUUCCGGACUCCAAGGGGAGGAGAGAACAAAAGAAGAGGACAUCUGCCAAGUUAGGGGUGUUGCUGGUCCUUCUUUCACCAUCAAUCAAGAUUUUGCUGCAUUCCU
Molecule: long non-coding RNA, 182 nt
Organism: Dromiciops gliroides (monito del monte)
Lineage: Eukaryota; Metazoa; Chordata; Mammalia; Microbiotheria; Microbiotheriidae
Exons: 3
Source: RefSeq, a predicted model, not a curated record